UACGUAGGGUGCGAGCGUUAAUCGGAAUUACUGGGCGUAAAGCGUGCGCAGGCGGUUUUGUAAGCCAGAUGUGAAAGCCCCGGGCUUAACCUGGGAAUGGCAUUUGGGACUGCAAGGCUGGAGUACGGCAGAGGGAGGUGGAAUUCCACGUGUAGCAGUGAAAUGCGUAGAGAUGUGGAGGAACACCGAUGGCGAAGGCAGCCUCCUGGGCCAGCACUGACGCUCAUGCACGAAAGCGUGGGGAGCAAACAGG
Molecule: ribosomal RNA, 253 nt
Filed under: uncultured bacterium
Lineage: Bacteria
Description: partial 16S ribosomal RNA
Rfam family: Bacterial small subunit ribosomal RNA
Source: RNAcentral